GCCGGGAUGGCGGAAUUGGCAGACGCGAUGCGCUCAAACCGCAUUGGGCUUCGGCCCGUAGGGGUUCAAGUCCCCUUCCCGGCA
This 84-nucleotide transfer RNA is filed under the name Actinomycetes bacterium. RNAcentral's name for it is "Actinobacteria bacterium tRNA-Leu". It matches the Rfam family "tRNA". From Rfam's summary of the family: Transfer RNA (tRNA) molecules are approximately 80 nucleotides in length. Their secondary structure includes four short double-helical elements and three loops (D, anti-codon, and T loops). RNAcentral also lists the same sequence under 1 other name. The record is from RNAcentral. Lineage: Bacteria; Bacillati; Actinomycetota; Actinomycetes.